RNAcentral lists this ribosomal RNA (392 nucleotides) under uncultured bacterium. RNAcentral describes it as "partial 16S ribosomal RNA". It matches the Rfam family "Bacterial small subunit ribosomal RNA", at positions 523 to 918 of the family's 1533-position model. The record is from RNAcentral.
AUACGGAGGAUGCGAGCGUUAUCCGGAUUUAUUGGGUUUAAAGGGAGCGUAGGCGGGAGCUUAAGUCAGCGGUUAAAUGGUGCGGCUCAACCGUGCCCUGCCGUUGAAACUGGGUUUCUUGAGAGUGCAAGAGGCGGAUGGAAUUCAUGGUGUAGCGGUGAAAUGCUUAGAUAUCAUGAAGAACUCCGAUUGCGAAGGCAGUCCGCUGGGGCACGUCUGACGCUGAUGCUCGAAGGUGCGGGAAUCAAACAGGAUUAGAUGCCCUGGUAGUCCGCACGGUAAACGAUGAAUACCCGCUGUCGGCGGCAGACAGUCGGCGGCCAAGCGAAAGCGAGAAGUAAUCCACCUGGGGAGUACGCCGGCAACGGUGAAACUCAAAUGAAUUGACGGGG